This 267-nucleotide ribosomal RNA is filed under the name uncultured bacterium. Its description in RNAcentral is "partial 16S ribosomal RNA". It matches the Rfam family "Bacterial small subunit ribosomal RNA", at positions 524 to 776 of the family's 1533-position model. The record is from RNAcentral.
UACGUAGGGUGCAAGCGUUGUCCGGAAUUAUUGGGCGUAAAGAGCUCGUAGGCGGUCUGUCGCGUCGGCUGAAAACUCGGGGCUCAACCCCGAGCCUGCAGUCGAUACGGGCAGACUAGAGUGCGGUAGGGGAGACUGGAAUUCCUGGUGUAGCGGUGAAAUGCGCAGAUAUCAGGAGGAACACCGGUGGCGAAGGCGGCCCGCUGGGCAGGAAGGCUCGCAAGAGCCGGCUGACGCUGAGGCGCGACAGCGUGGGGAGCAAACAGG